Molecule: ribosomal RNA, 253 nt
Filed under: uncultured bacterium
Lineage: Bacteria
Description: partial 16S ribosomal RNA
Rfam family: Bacterial small subunit ribosomal RNA
Source: RNAcentral
UACGUAGGGUGCGAGCGUUAUCCGGAAUUAUUGGGCGUAAAGAGCUCGUAGGCGGUUUGUUGCGUCGGCUGUGAAAUCCCGAGGCUCAACCUGGGAACUGCAUUUGUGACUGCAUGGCUGGAGUGCGGCAGAGGGGGAUGGAAUUCCGCGUGUAGCAGUGAAAUGCGUAGAUAUGCGGAGGAACACCGAUGGCGAAGGCAAUCCCCUGGGCCUGCACUGACGCUCAUGCACGAAAGCGUGGGGAGCAAACAGG